AUAGAGACUCAGAGCUGCAUAUCAAUAAGCGGAGGAAAAGAAACUAACAAGGAUUCCCCUAGUAACGGCGAGUGAAGCGGGAAGAGCUCAAAUUUGAAAUCUUCAAGGGUUUCCCUUGACGAAUUGUAGUUUAAAGAAGUGUUUUCUGUUGAAGUUUUCGGUAAAAGUUCUUUGGAAUAGGACAUCAUAGAGGGUGAGAAUCCCGUAUUUGACCAUUUACUUUCCAGCUUGCUCGAUACACUUUCAAAGAGUCGGAUUGUUUGGGAAUGCAGUCCAAAAUGGGUGGUAAAUUUCAUCUAAAGCUAAAUAUUGGCGAGAGACCGAUAGCGAACAAGUACCGUGAGGGAAAGAUGAAAAGAACUUUGAAAAGAGAGUUAAACAGUACGUGAAAUUGUCAAAAGGGAAGCGUUUGACACCAGUGUUGUUUUUCCGAAAAUCAAUUACGAAUGUUUUGUUUUUGAGGAGUUAUGACUUCAUCGGCUUGCUCCUUUCUUUAUGAAACUUUCUUAAUGCACUUUUCGGUUAACAAGUCAACAUCAAUUUCUUUUGUUGUAAAAGGGUAUGAGGAAGGUGGCUUUCUUUUCGGAGAAAGUGUUUAUAGCCUUGUGCCUCUGCAAUCGGAGAGAUUGAGGUCUGCAGCGUAGAUCCUUCGGGGUUAGAUACAGUUUGUGCUAAGUUAUAGCUUUUCAUAGACAACUUGUUGACUAUGUUUAGUCUUGUAGACUUACUCGCUGACGCUAUUUUACCUACGCUUAGGAUGUUGAAGAUAUGCGCGACACG
This 780-nucleotide ribosomal RNA is filed under the name uncultured Neocallimastigales. Its description in RNAcentral is "partial large subunit ribosomal RNA". It matches the Rfam family "Eukaryotic large subunit ribosomal RNA", at positions 23 to 644 of the family's 3401-position model. Lineage: Eukaryota; Fungi; Neocallimastigomycota; Neocallimastigomycetes; Neocallimastigales. The record is from RNAcentral.